This 442-nucleotide ribosomal RNA is filed under the name uncultured bacterium. Its description in RNAcentral is "bacterial SSU rRNA". It matches the Rfam family "Bacterial small subunit ribosomal RNA", at positions 338 to 795 of the family's 1533-position model. The record is from RNAcentral.
CCUACGGGUGGCAGCAGUAGGGAAUAUUGCGCAAUGGACGGAAGUCUGACGCAGCGACGCCGCGUGAGCGAUGAAGGCCUUCGGGUUGUAAACUUCUUUGACCAGGGACGAAUAAAUGACGGUACCUGGAGAACAAGCCACGGCUAACUACGUGCCAGCAGCCGCGGUAAUACGUAGGUGGCGAGCGUUGUCCGGAAUUACUGGGUGUAAAGGGCGUGUAGGCGGGUUCUUAAGUCAGAUGUGAAAUCCCGGGGCUCAACUCCGGAGCUGCAUCUGAAACUGGGAAUCUUGAGUGCUGGAGGGGAAAGUGGAAUUCCUAGUGUAGCGGUGAAAUGCGUAGAGAUUAGGAGGAACACCAGUGGCGAAGGCGGCUUUCUGGACAGCAACUGACGCUGAGGCGCGAAAGCGUGGGGAGCAAACAGGAUUAGAUACCUGAGUAGUC